AGAGGAGAUAGAUGUCCCAGGUAAGAGAGGAGAUAGAUGUCCCAGGUAAGAGAGGAGAGGAGAUAGAUGUCCCAGGUAAGAGAGGAGAUAGAUGUCCCAGGUAAGAGAGGAGAUAGAUGUCCCAGGUAAGAGAGGAGAUAGAUGUCCCAGGUAAGAGAGGAGAUAGAUGUCCCAGGUAAGAGAGGAGAUAGAUGUCCCAGGUAAGAGAGGAGAUAGAUGUCCCAGGUAAGAGAGGAGAUAGAUGUCCCAGGUAAGAGAGGAGAUAGAUGUCCCAGGUAAGAGAGGAGAUAGAUGUCCCAGGUAAGAGAGGAGAUAGAUGUUCCAGGUAAGAGAGGAGAGGAGAUAGAUGUCCCAGGUAGGAGAGGAG
Oncorhynchus keta (chum salmon) is the source of this 367-nucleotide long non-coding RNA. RefSeq lists it as uncharacterized. The record is from RefSeq and is a predicted model, not a curated record. The transcript is spliced from 5 exons. Lineage: Eukaryota; Metazoa; Chordata; Actinopteri; Salmoniformes; Salmonidae.